Non-coding RNA from Chiloscyllium plagiosum (whitespotted bambooshark), 2433 nucleotides. The record is from RefSeq and is a predicted model, not a curated record. Lineage: Eukaryota; Metazoa; Chordata; Chondrichthyes; Orectolobiformes; Hemiscylliidae.
GGUUAAUUCCACUCCAAUAGUGUCUUUAAUUGAGGUCUAUCAAAUAGGACUUGCCUUUGUGUUAAAACGUGCAUUUAAAAUAAAUAUCGAUGUGGCGAAAGAGUCGCAUGGUGAGGGAGUGUCAAACAUUUCUGACUUGGAAGUGCAGUUCGGAAAGAUUUUGAAUGAUUUAGGCGCUGACCUUCCCUGUAAAACAGCAGAUGGCGCCAGAUCAUUAUCGAUUCAGCAGGGAGAUGGAUAAGAAAUCAGCCAUUUGCCAGCAGAAUGCCCAGUUAUUUCAGUUGGCGACGGCAGAGAGAUAAAACAAAACUUAAACAGGACAAGGGAAGGAAAAAUACAUGGGAAUUGUACCAAGUUCCCCAUUCCAUCCAGCCGCCGAUAAGUUUUCUAUUGGAUACAGACACCCAUCCCUCAGUUGGACUGCUUGAUGAGACAUAAUUUAGAAUAAAAUUUUGUGACUUCAGUAUCUUGUAACUGAAACUGAAAUUCUUUAAGUGAAUUUGAUUCAUUACGUCAAGCAUUUCAGCAACAAAUAGGAAACGAAUUUACCAGUUUGAUAUGUUUAAAAAGUCUUUACAAGAGAGGGACAGAGUUUACUUGACCGGCUAGCAUUUGAGAUUGGACUUAAACUGCGUGACUGAGUUCUUGAUCAGCCAGUUCUAGGCGCUGGGAAUGAUGCUGUCGUCCUGCUUCACAUCUAAAUUCGCAGCUCCCGGCGUUGGAAUCAUUGCUGACGUUUGGACAGCAAGCAAUCUGAAAGUUGUACCUUUUAAAAAUCAGUGCAGCAUUUAUUGCAGAGCUGGUCCCAGAACAAUGAAAGGGGAAUCUAAAAGUGGCAGAAUUUAGGAGCAGAGUUUGUGAAAUUUACAGGCUGUUUCCAUCAAACGAAAUCAGAAAAUGCUGAAAGUAUUCAGCAAAUCAGGACACAUGUGACCUUUCGUCAGAGCUCACUUUCCAGGAGGUAUGAAUACGACUGGGUUCCCGGGCUGUCGCUAUUCAGUGAUCAGGAGUGAAGUGCACUCAGUCCAUGUUUCUGUGACGUGUGGAUUAUAGUCUCCUGGAACUGACGCACUGGCCCAAGGCAGUGGAAUGAUCACAAAGAGAGUUGAUGCGUCUGAGUCUGGGACUCGGUGAAGCGAAUACAUAUCCUGAACAUAUAACGCUGAUGCCCUUUGACAGACGGCUCAACAGCUCAAUGACAUCACUGAGUGCGAGAAGCGUGGUAUAAAAAGCUCUUUACGGCCAGUCAUCAUAAGCAUCCAGUCAGUUCGGAGUCUGCACUACACUUUAUUCCACCAGGCAGUACCGGUCAUCUUACUGGGAUGUAACUGCACUGCCAAUAGCGUGGAGUCCUCCUCUCCUGAGACUAGGAAUAUUUUGAAUUGCACACUUCUCUUGUUGUAAUCAAGUGCCAUUCUUAUGUUGCCUUGGAUAUGAUACUUCGGCUGAACAGAUUAACUCCCAAUUAUUUCCGGCUAUUACAGAUGCAACUUGCGGGUGAGGCCACAGUCCAGAGUACUGACCGACUCAUUAACUUCUCUGCGCUGCUCCUUGCUGUAGGGGGUAUCGGUUUGUCCUCCUUUGGCACCAGAAGAAUGACUGAAGCAGCUGAAACCAUGGCAACAUUUGGAACAGAAGCAUCAGAACAGAGGAAUGAACUGCCCCAAAGUGAAUAAUGGACAAAUGAACACAUGACUCCCAGAAUAUAAAGUGUUCCCCUCUCUACAUUCUGUUUGAAUAGACAGACUAUAUUAAGAGGAGUAGCUGUUUAAAAUGAUUAGUUAAUGCAAUUGAUACUUCCACUCCUUCCUGAAGGGGAUCAAUGGGACAGUGAGAAUUUCAGACAAUCUCUUCAUGUAUGAUCACUCCUUCAUUGGGAGAGAGUGUUCACUGAGAUUCAGUACAAAGUUUCAAUGUGAUCAAGCAGCAACCAAGUUACACAUGGAAUAGAGUCAAAAAGUGUGGUGCUGGAAAAGCACGGCAGGUCAGACAGCAUCCGAGGAGCAGAAAGUCCACGUUUCGGGCAUAAGCCCUUCAUCAGGAAUGUUGCUGAAUGGCAUAAGCUUAUGUUGAGGAGAUGUUAUAAGAUGAAAGGCUUAUGCCCGAAACGUAGACUGUCCUGCUCCUCGGAUGCUGCCUCAUCUGCUGUGCUUUUCCAGCGCCACACUUUUUGACUCUGAUUUCCAGCAUCGACAGUCCUCACUUUCUCCUUAGGUAUGGAAAAUCUUAACAAAGUUUAUACUGACAGCAAAUAUGAUCAUUGCAUAUUUGAGUGUUCAGAGUCAAGUGUAACCCAUAAUCCUGUUUGCCUGUAUACCCCAUCAUUCUGUAUGGGGUGACAUCAUUCUCAGCUGAGGACCACACUCUCUCAGAAUUGCAAAGGACCCACUCUGUACUACAUCCUCAGGAGAAUUCAUACUCUCAACAAACAGU